UGAAUAGCAGAAUACAGUGAAUCAUCGAAUCUUUGAACGCAUCUUGCGCUCCUUGGUAUUCCGAGGAGCAUGCCUGUUUGAGUGUCAUUUAACUUCUCAACCACAUCAGAUAUGAAUGUGGCUUGGAAUUGGGGGUCAUUUGCAGGCUUUUUCUGUGAAAAGAAAGAAAGGUCGGCUCCCCUGAAAUGUAUUAGUGGUAUCUGAGCUACUGCUAUAGGUGUGAUAAUUAUCUAUGCCUUUGGUAUGCUGCAUGAAACAGAUUGCACCGCUUAUUAACAAAAGACGAACUUGAUAAAUAUGACCUCAAAUCAGGUAGGACUACCCGCUGAACUUAAGCAUAUCAAUAAGCGGAGGAA
Molecule: small RNA, 356 nt
Filed under: uncultured fungus
Lineage: Eukaryota; Fungi
Description: eukaryotic LSU rRNA
Rfam family: 5.8S ribosomal RNA (bases 1-87)
Source: RNAcentral